Molecule: ribosomal RNA, 48 nt
Filed under: Clerodendrum longiflorum
Lineage: Eukaryota; Viridiplantae; Streptophyta; Magnoliopsida; Lamiales; Lamiaceae
Description: partial 18S ribosomal RNA
Source: RNAcentral
AAGUCGUAACAAGGUUUCCGUAGGUUAACUGAGGAACAAUGGNUGUCG